GGAGUAGACAAAAUUCAUAAACACAUAGACAGAAAACGGCGAGGAGGAGGCUGCCAUGGGAGAGAAUUGAAAUCCCUUCUGGGGAUUAAAUAUACAACAAGCCGAGGUGGGUGGGCGGAAGAAAACCGACAGCUUUGGGGGAAUUAAAAGGAAUAGAAAGUAGGCUGGAAUUGGACUCUUUAAUUGGCAGAUUUAGUGGCAGAAAAAAAAGAGAAUCGUUGGGGCUGAAUUGAGUAUAUUCCACGGCAGAAAGUCUGCUACAACUUGGGGUCGAAUUGGAAUUAAAGAGACAUUGGAUGGUUGCACUUAAAUAUAUAUACACAGAGCCCGAUGCAAGCAGAUUAGGACCUGGGAAUUGAGUGCUGAAUUACUAAAAUAAACCAAUUGCUGGGAAUUAAUUGUUGGGUUGCAAGGUGGAAUUAUAUUGCUACAUCCACAGAAAAUCGAGGCAGAGCAAGGUUGGAAAUUGGAAUUAUAUACACGCAGCUGGAGAGACAUUCACGACACAGUGAAAGACGGCACAUGCAAUUGGAAUAAAUCACGUUCCGUCAAUUAUUGGUGAUGUCGUUCCACUUCUCUUUGUUUAAUUUUAACAUUAUGCUCGGCUAGAUUAUUUUGUACUAGGAUUUGUGAUGAAUCUUAUAUUAUGAACAUUUAAUAUUGAAUUUUAUUUAUUUUGAC
This 681-nucleotide long non-coding RNA is filed under the name Olea europaea subsp. europaea. Lineage: Eukaryota; Viridiplantae; Streptophyta; Magnoliopsida; Lamiales; Oleaceae. The record is from RNAcentral.